RNAcentral lists this ribosomal RNA (479 nucleotides) under Fusarium verticillioides. RNAcentral describes it as "eukaryotic LSU rRNA". The stretch from base 115 to 268 matches the Rfam family "5.8S ribosomal RNA". The record is from RNAcentral. Lineage: Eukaryota; Fungi; Ascomycota; Sordariomycetes; Hypocreales; Nectriaceae.
CCACUUGUUGCCUCGGCGGAUCAGCCCGCUCCCGGUAAAACGGGACGGCCCGCCAGAGGACCCCUAAACUCUGUUUCUAUAUGUAACUUCUGAGUAAAACCAUAAAUAAAUCAAAACUUUCAACAACGGAUCUCUUGGUUCUGGCAUCGAUGAAGAACGCAGCAAAAUGCGAUAAGUAAUGUGAAUUGCAGAAUUCAGUGAAUCAUCGAAUCUUUGAACGCACAUUGCGCCCGCCAGUAUUCUGGCGGGCAUGCCUGUUCGAGCGUCAUUUCAACCCUCAAGCCCUCGGGUUUGGUGUUGGGGAUCGGCGAGCCCUUGCGGCAAGCCGGCCCCGAAAUCUAGUGGCGGUCUCGCUGCAGCCUCCAUUGCGUAGUAGUAAAACCCUCGCAACUGGAACGCGGCGCGGCCAAGCCGUUAAACCCCCAACUUCUGAAUGUUGACCUCGGAUCAGGUAGGAAUACCCGCUGAACUUAAGCAUA